ACGGGUGAGUAACACGUGAGAAACCUGCCCUGAAGUCUGGGAUAACCCGAGGAAACUCGAGCUAAUACCGGAUGCCUUCAUUUGAUCGCAUGGUCGAAUGAAGAAAGAUUUAUUGCUUCAGGGGGGUCUCGCGGCCUAUCAGCUAGUUGGCGGGGUAACGGCCCACCAAGGCGUCGACGGGUAGCUGGUCUGAGAGGACGAUCAGCCACACUGGGACUGAGACACGGCCCAGACUCCUACGGGAGGCAGCAGUGGGGAAUAUUGCGCAAUGGGCGAAAGCCUGACGCAGCAACGCCGCGUGCGGGAUGAAGGCCUUCGGGUUGUAAACCGCUUUCAGUGGGGACGAAAUUGACGGUACCCACAGAAGAAGCCCCGGCCAACUACGUGCCAGCAGCCGCGGUAACACGUAGGGGGCGAGCGUUGUCCGGAUUUAUUGGGCGUAAAGAGCUCGUAGGCGGCUCGGUAAGUCGGGUGUGAAAACUCUAGGCUCAACCUAGAGACGCCACCCGAUACUGCUGUGGCUAGAGUCCGGUAGGGGAGCAUGGAAUUCCUGGUGUAGCGGUGAAAUGCGCAGA
This 575-nucleotide ribosomal RNA is filed under the name uncultured bacterium. RNAcentral describes it as "bacterial SSU rRNA". It matches the Rfam family "Bacterial small subunit ribosomal RNA", at positions 102 to 694 of the family's 1533-position model. The record is from RNAcentral.